Molecule: ribosomal RNA, 346 nt
Filed under: uncultured Russula
Lineage: Eukaryota; Fungi; Basidiomycota; Agaricomycetes; Russulales; Russulaceae
Description: eukaryotic LSU rRNA
Source: RNAcentral
AACGCACCUUGCACCCCUUGGUAUUCCGAGGGGUACACCCGUUUGAGUGUCGUGAAAUUCUCAAAAAGCCUUUUCUUAAUCUUUAAGAAAAGUAUUUUGGACUUGGAGGAUUAAUGCUUGCUAUCAGUUAUUGAAAGAGAGCUCCUCUUAAAUAAAUCAGUGGGGGUUUGCUUUGCUGAUCCUUGAUGUGAUAAAGUAAUUCUACAUUUUGGAUAUAUAGCAUUGUUCUUUUAAACACCUGCUUCUAAUUGUCCACAUUGACAAUGAUGGUGUUCUGGUCACUGUGCUAGAACCCACAAGAAAAAACCUUGACCUCAAAUCGGGUGAGACUACCCGCUGAACUUAA